UACGUAGGGCGCAAGCGUUGUCCGGAAUUAUUGGGCGUAAAGAGCUCGUAGGCGGCUUGUCGCGUCGGAUGUGAAAGCCCGGGGCUUAACCCCGGGUCUGCAUUCGAUACGGGCAGGCUAGAGUUCGGUAGGGGAGAUCGGAAUUCCUGGUGUAGCGGUGAAAUGCGCAGAUAUCAGGAGGAACACCGGUGGCGAAGGCGGAUCUCUGGGCCGAUACUGACGCUGAGGCGCGAAAGCGUGGGGAGCAAACAGG
RNAcentral lists this ribosomal RNA (253 nucleotides) under uncultured bacterium. Its description in RNAcentral is "partial 16S ribosomal RNA". It matches the Rfam family "Bacterial small subunit ribosomal RNA", at positions 524 to 776 of the family's 1533-position model. The record is from RNAcentral.